Molecule: long non-coding RNA, 813 nt
Organism: Cucumis sativus (cucumber)
Lineage: Eukaryota; Viridiplantae; Streptophyta; Magnoliopsida; Cucurbitales; Cucurbitaceae
Exons: 3
Source: RefSeq, a predicted model, not a curated record
UAGUAAAUAUUAUAUUGUGAAAACUCCCACAUGCAUUAAGAAAGGAGCCGUUGACAGUUUAUGGAGAUGGCAAGCAAACCCGGAGUUUUCAAUACGUUUCUGAUCUGGUGGAGGGGCUAAUGAAACUGAUGGAAGGCGAGCACGUGGGGCCUUUUAAUCUGGGCAACCCCGGCGAAUUCACUAUGCUCGAACUUGCUCAGGUAGUGCAAGAGACAAUAGAUCCAAAUGCAAAGAUAGAGUUCAGACCGAACACGGAAGAUGACCCGCAUAAAAGAAAACCUGACAUUUCUAAAGCUAAGGACCUUCUUGGUUGGGAGCCCACCGUGUCCCUUCGAAAGGGCCUUCCCUUAUGGUUUCGGACUUUCGUCAACGCAUCUUCGGUGACUCGAAAGAUGACAUUUCCACUGCUGCCGUCCUCUCCACCACCACCACGGUCUAGUCCCUCCUUCUUAUCUCUUCUCAUACCUUUUAGAAUAAGAGAUCUCUCAAAUCACUUCCUCCCAAAGAAUAACAUUUGGUAGUUUGAAGAGAUGAGAGAAAAAAGAGGAGGGGAUCUUCCCAUCCAUCAAAACCUCUUUCUUUUCUCCCAAUUUUCACAUUUUUUAUUCCGUGGGCCUAAUUUACCUCUCUCUUCCUCUCCUGUUUUGUAUAUCUUUGCUCUAUUAUUUAUGAAACUCUCCUCUCUCUUUUUUAUUUCACUUAUUCCCAUAUACAUUAUAUUUAUACCUUUCUUUUUGUUAAAUUAUAAAUAUGAACUUUUGUAGUUAUAUAUAUAUAUGUUUGAUCAAUCUACCAUUCUUCUCGUUUCAUGAA